Long non-coding RNA from Cololabis saira (Pacific saury), 541 nucleotides. RefSeq lists it as uncharacterized. Lineage: Eukaryota; Metazoa; Chordata; Actinopteri; Beloniformes; Belonidae. The record is from RefSeq and is a predicted model, not a curated record. The transcript has 6 exons.
UCAAUAAAGGAAAGGAAAAAAUGCAUUGUAAUGUUUUUCUGGGGAAGUGUGUGGAAUCUGUCUCUAAGAAGUUGUUGAUUUGUGUUGUUUUAAGGAAAGUCAUGAAGAUGCCAGUCAGAGAGAAGAUUGGGGAGCAGAACCUCUCUCACAGGCUCAGGAAAGUGAAGAUGUCACCCAAAGAGAAGAACAGAGAGCAGAGCCUUUCACAUUAGCACAGAACAAUGAAGAUGCCACCCAAAGAGAAGAGCAGAGCACAGAGCCUAUCACAUUAACACAGGAAAGUGAUGAAGAUGCCAGCCAGAGAGAAGAGCAGAGAGGAGAACCUGUCGCACUGGCACAGGAAAACAAUGAUGAUACCAGCCAAAGUCAAGAGCAAAGAGCAGGAUCUUUCACAAUGGUACAGGACAGUGUCCCUCAAGCAGAUGUCCACUUCCAUGGACUAACGGAAGGACAAAGCAUCAUCUCGAUUCUCUCCUUUGCACUGAGACACAACACUACAGGUGUAUUGAUGGAAGACCUGCUGAAACUACUUAAGUUACAU